This is a long non-coding RNA of Silurus meridionalis, 1866 nucleotides long. RefSeq lists it as uncharacterized. The transcript is spliced from 2 exons. The record is from RefSeq and is a predicted model, not a curated record. Lineage: Eukaryota; Metazoa; Chordata; Actinopteri; Siluriformes; Siluridae.
UCAAAUGCAAGCCAAAUCACGAUCGUUGUAUCUGGCUCUUGCGUUUGCUCAAGUGUUACAACUGUUAAACAGAGUAUAUUAGCAAGCAUGUAAAUCAAUCUAUUGGAAAUACAUUUUAUUAUCAUUUGCAAUUCAGUACACGAGUGAUAAUAGGAAUCCUUGGUCAAAUAGGAUACAGGAGGAAAAGCUGUUGUACAAAGAGCAAUGUAAAUCAAAUGGAUUUAAUAUUAGACACAGAGUAUAGUACGUAAUAGUAUGUGUUUAAACAAAACUUCACUUAAUUUCAAUCAAAGGCUCACUGUUAAACCAUGUUAAACAUAAUAAAUUAGCAAAUCGACUUAAAUACAGUCUGAUAACAAAUCUAAAAGUGAUACUAUUUCCACUGGGCUGUUUUUAUAUUUUACACUGUGCAUGCAGAUCAGUUCAACACUAUAACAUAAGGAGCACUUUAUAUGCAUUUAUUUGUGUUUUGUAACUGGCUUGUGUUUUUUUCUUUCAAAAGAAAUAUACAUUAUAUCACUCAGUAAUGGAUGGACUGGAGUUGAAAUUCUUAAAAACAUUUUGAGGAAAAGCGCGCCGGCGUGCUCGCUAAACGUAACGUUAUACACGGUCGAGCGUUAACCCACUAGCACUAAACGUGCACUGGCCAAUCACAGGACGCGUAAUUUCUUGGUCCCCGUUCUAAUUCUGGCCAAUGACCAUCUCUUGGAGGCGGAGCAAAGAGCUGACGCACUGGGGCGCGUGAUUGACGCAAGCAACGUUUCUAAAAAUAGCAGCGGGCGGCCCGGCGGUGUGAGAUAGCCGAUGCUUCAUUCAUUGUACCGGGGCGGGUCCGUUUAUUUUAGACAUUUGAUUGUGUUCCAGCCAAUCCAAAUAUAGUCGUAGACAGGUAUUUUUAGCGGAAGCGUGUCCCCGUUUCCUCUUGCCAGGGAACAACCUCAUGACACGGCCGUGUUGUAACGGGAGAUUGGCGCUAGCUCGUGGGUUCACUUCUCCAGCUCCAGGAGCACAGCUCGGUGGAAUCGGGGUUCCAUGUAAACCGAUUGUUUUACUUCCUGUUUUUAGAAAGACGCGUCCAAAGGUGUCAAAGUGAUGGCGUUGCACGCCUUGGUGAACGGAAAAGACGCUUCAAACCUCUUCAGGUCCAUAAAAAAUUGUCAAAAAAAGCACGAACGCUCUCAUUACGACGACUUUACUUGCCAACAAAGCGUCUUUAUAAACUGUACAAACUGUAGAGUCAAUCUGAAGCACUUGCGACUGUCUAAUAAAGCUGAAGAGAAACUUUAGAUCUUGCGCAUGCGCAGAAGCUAAUUCCCGUUCUGUAAGAUGAGUCUCUGAGUGAGCGCGUGCUGGGGGGGGAUUCCACUUUCCAUGACCUCUGUCAUCCUCACCUUCUUCCACACACUCGGUCAUUUUGAUCAAAAGUUUGACGUGAAACACUGUCACCACCAGAGCAGUUUAAUUUACAAGAAUAUAAAAAUCAUCAGUAAAGGUAAAGAUCUUCCUGACCUUCGAAGCUGAGGUGCAGGUUCACACUUCUUAGUCACUUUGCACAGUUGAUGCCUGUUUUUUUUGUUUGGUUUGGUUUCAAUCAGAACAGACUCAUGCACCACCAGAUGGACUCCAGUCCGACACUGGACACAGUGCAUACACACAUUCAGAGGUUUUGUCAGAUCUAGCUCAGGGGCAGCUCAGCUUGGAGGGAAACAGAACUCCGAGGAAUCCCAGGGGGAAGAACAUGCAAACCCAUUCGCAUACAGUAACCAGAGCUCAGGACGAAACUGGAUUGACCCUAGGACUGUCAGGUGGCAACUUGACCCACUGUGUGACCAUGCCACUCAAUAAAUAAAUGAUUGUAUGUGUAUA